CCUACGGGCGGCAGCAGUAGGGAAUAUUGCUCAAUGGGGGAAACCCUGAAGCAGCAACGCCGCGUGGAGGAUGAAGGUUUUCGGAUUGUAAACUCCUUUUGUUAGAGAAGAUAAUGACGGUAUCUAACGAAUAAGCACCGGCUAACUCCGUACCAGCAGCAGCGGUAAUACGGAGGGUGCAAGCGUUACUCGGAAUCACUGGGCGUAAAGAGCGCGUAGGCGGGAUAGCAAGUCAGAUGUGAAAUCCUAUGGGUUAACCAUAGAACUGCAUUUGAAACUGUUAUUCUAGAGUAUGGGAGAGGUAGGUGGAAUUCUUGGUGUAGGGGUAAAAUCCGUAGAGAUCAAGAGGAAUACUCAUUGCGAAGGCGACCUGCUAGAACAUAACUGACGCUGAUGCGCGAAAGCGUGGGGAGCAAACAGGAUUAGAUACCCCGGUAGUC
RNAcentral lists this ribosomal RNA (440 nucleotides) under uncultured bacterium. RNAcentral describes it as "partial 16S ribosomal RNA". It matches the Rfam family "Bacterial small subunit ribosomal RNA", at positions 338 to 795 of the family's 1533-position model. The record is from RNAcentral.